Monomorium pharaonis (pharaoh ant) is the source of this 188-nucleotide long non-coding RNA. RefSeq lists it as uncharacterized. The transcript is spliced from 2 exons. NCBI's taxonomy places the organism in Eukaryota, Metazoa, Arthropoda, Insecta, Hymenoptera, Formicidae. The record is from RefSeq and is a predicted model, not a curated record.
UAUGUGUUGAAGAUACUGAACAAUAAGAUUGGAAAAAUCUGAUACUCAAGAAACAUUAAAUAUGUUGUUGAGAAAUCAAGAAAAAAUACUGAUGGAGAUAAUUCUUCUGAAUAUAUUCCUUCGUCUACAAGCGAGUCAUCAAUUUACUCAGAUACAGAAAAUGAUAAUACAAAGAAUAAUAGGAAAAA